Molecule: long non-coding RNA, 807 nt
Organism: Chinchilla lanigera (long-tailed chinchilla)
Lineage: Eukaryota; Metazoa; Chordata; Mammalia; Rodentia; Chinchillidae
Exons: 4
Source: RefSeq, a predicted model, not a curated record
AGCACCCAGGUGAGAGUCGCCGCGGCCCCAGGUACCUGUUCCCGUGGCCCUCCUGGCACAACCCACAGUGCAGGAGCUCAGCGAAGACUCACUGGGGUCUCUAAUGCCCAGGCCAGCUAAGGACCCACAGGCUAAUGGGCUUUCAGCUUUGCCACCCCCAGGGAAAAGCCACAUACUUUUCUAAAGACGCACUCUUCUAGAACGGACCUGGAGGUCCCCUAGCAAGAGCACUGCAGAGACCUCAUGAUUCAGCCUGUUGAAGCCUAAGUGGUUCACCCAUGAAGCUCAUUCACUGAUGGGGAUUAGAUUCUCUAACCCAGAGACACCAUGUUGACCUACUCUCAAGGGUGACCACAUUCUACAGUAGAGGAACGUGGCCAGUAGCCACUUGUGGUUGGAGAUAUACGAAAGUGUCUCCAGCUGGCCUGCUGGCUGCCCCAGCCUCCUAACAGUUCUCCCAGCCUCCAUGUUGGACCCUGUGGUUUUCCGUCCACACCUGGUUGCUCAGAGAGACUCUUGAAAAUAUUUGGUGAAACCCAGCCUACAAGAGGCUGUGACUUGGGUGAAGAAUUCAUGGGAUCAAAUCCCUGACAGCUGUGUUUCCCCACGCACCUGGAGCAGGCUACGUGCACAAGCAGCGCUCAUUUGAGGAGAGCUCUAUUCAUUUGCCAGGAAUGGCCCUGAAGUGUACUCACUGGCCCAGCAUAGUACAAGUAGCACCCUUUCCUCUUUCAAAAACAUCUUGGUUUGGCUGAUAACAUACCCGAUCUCCCUCUGAUGGCACUCCCUGAAAGCUCUUCAGAAUAA